AGAGCGAACGCUGGCGGCAGGCCUAACACAUGCAAGUCGAACGGUUCUUCGGAACAGUGGCGGACGGGUGAGUAACACGUGGGAACGUACCUUUUGGUUCGGAACAACACAGGGAAACUUGUGCUAAUACCGGAUAAGCCCUUAGGGGGAAAGAUUUAUCGCCGAAAGAGCGGCCCGCGUUAGAUUAGCUAGUUGGUGAGGUAAAGGCUCACCAAGGCUACGAUCUAUAGCUGGUCUGAGAGGAUGAUCAGCCACAUUGGGACUGAGACACGGCCCAAACUCCUACGGGAGGCAGCAGUGGGGAAUCUUGCGCAAUGGGCGAAAGCCUGACGCAGCCAUGCCGCGUGAAUGAUGAAGGUCUUAGGAUUGUAAAAUUCUUUCAGUAGGACGAUAAUGACGGUACCUACAGAAGAACGCCCCGGCUAACUUCGCGCCAGCAGCCGC
RNAcentral lists this ribosomal RNA (444 nucleotides) under uncultured bacterium. RNAcentral's name for it is "SSU rRNA". It matches the Rfam family "Bacterial small subunit ribosomal RNA", at positions 26 to 518 of the family's 1533-position model. The record is from RNAcentral.